UCCAUUAUGACGAACUUCCCUCUGGCUACUAUGAUGUGGAGGACAGUGAGGGGAACCCCAUCCAAGGUUUUCCCCUCACUCCCCCUGGAGAGGAGAGCACCCGGGCCGCACUGCCCCCUGAAGAAGGACCCGUUGCACCUGACAGGACUGACUACGAUGAUGUUGGGGAGGAGUCUCCAGGAGAGGGUGGGGCGCUGUGAGGCUGGCAGUGUGUCUGGAGGAGAAUAGAGGGGCAGCUGGAGCCCCCUAGAGUUCUAGAUCUGUAAGAGCGCCAUUAACUGUAAACCUGCCAGACAGUUUCACUGCAGUUCCGUUGAAACUCCAUUGGCUGAAUAUUUAGCAGGCUUCUCAUAAAAGUGCUUCAUGUCAAAUAUGAAUGUUUCCCUUUAUGCUGCAAAAUUGCAUCUUGUUACAAAGCUGGUUAAAUCAAAUUAGCAAAGAUGUCUGAAAGAAACUAAGAAAUUAUAUUUUCCCAAGAAAAAUAUAUCAUCAAAUUAUGUGUUGCAAAGCAACCUCAAAGAUCAGUAUUAUAUAUAUAUAUAUUUUAAAAAUCCAGUACCAAAAGUAACUGAAACAGUUCAGAAAUGUAACUAACAGCCAUUGGGUGGGUUUUGGGAAAACACAUUGUUAUAACAAUGGUUUUUGUCUACCCCCCUCCCCUCCCCCCUCACAAUUAUGAAGGUAGAUACAGAUUUCCAAAUGUAAAGGAGAUUCGCUUGGCAGUCUGCUGUCUGUGUAUUUUGUGUCCAUUUUUUCUAGCAAUGUCUCUUCUGGUCAGGUUUUCUUUUAAAUCCAGUCCAUAGUCUUUAAAUACAGACUGUGUUUUAAUAGGGGUCUGUGUUUCCUCUUUCAGCCUGUAAUUGUGGUGGUGUGCAGUUUCAAAGGGGAUCUGGUUUGAAAAUGAAUUGUUUUGAAAUUCCAUUGUAAAGUUUGGAUUUACAGAAUUCCUGUAGCCCAACUCUUGACAGUUACCCUGUUUGUAAUUCAUUUGGAGCUAGGUGUGCAGAUAAAAAAUGAUUUCUAUAUUAAAAUGUUAGUUUGUUUUUUUAUUAUUUGAAUAUAUCUAUUCUGCUUUAAUGUACCAUUUCUAAACGUAUAGCAUUUCUUGCAGAAUGUGCAAUGGCUUGAUGGCUGUAUUCUGUUUUUAAACAAUAAAGUCUAAUUUAACAUC
Acipenser ruthenus (sterlet) is the source of this 1171-nucleotide long non-coding RNA. RefSeq lists it as uncharacterized. NCBI's taxonomy places the organism in Eukaryota, Metazoa, Chordata, Actinopteri, Acipenseriformes, Acipenseridae. The record is from RefSeq and is a predicted model, not a curated record. The transcript has 2 exons.